CAUCUCUCAGGGUUGCACCUGGAGAGUUUCCAGUACUCUACCAAUCUCUACUUUGGGAGAGAGAGUCAAGCAGAGGCCUAGCCAUUCCAUUCCUAGCUUGAGCAGUGGCUAGCGAGUGGAAGGCAAUCUGCUCCAAGU
Ornithorhynchus anatinus (platypus) is the source of this 138-nucleotide non-coding RNA. NCBI's taxonomy places the organism in Eukaryota, Metazoa, Chordata, Mammalia, Monotremata, Ornithorhynchidae. The record is from Rfam.